ACACGAUCGUGACAAAGCCAGAGUGAAAGCAGCGGAGAUCAAUUCACAUGUUGACGAUUACAACUAUUCUUGAAGUAAUGUCUACCUCAGUUAACUUGCCAGAAGCCGAACAUUCCGGGUUGUUGAAGUUUCUCUCGGCUGCGUUCUACGCCGUCAGUUCAUUCUUGAUCAUUGUUGUUAACAAAACGAUUCUCACAAACUACAGAUUUCCCUCGUACAUGUUUCUAGGAAUUGGACAGAUGGCCACUACAAUCAUCAUUCUCUAUGCUGCUAAAAUUAACCAAACAGUUCACUUUCAAGACUUUGACAGAAGCAUUUUCAUCAAAAUCUUCCCUCUACCUCUGCUGUAUGUUGGAAACCACAUAACAGGACUGGCGGGUACAAAGAAGUUAAGUUUACCCAUGUUCACAGUCUUAAGGAAGUUCACCAUAUUGAUGACAAUGAUCAUGGAAGCAAGGAUAUUGAAAAAACAAAUCCCUAGUCGUCUGAUCUACAGUGUUUUGGCCAUCGUUUUUGGAGCAUUGGUGGCAGCAAGCUCUGACUUGGCCUUUGAUGCCGAGGGCUACACAUUCAUUCUGCUUAAUGAUGUCUUCACUGCUGCCAGUGGUGUGUACACCAAGAAGAAGCUGGGAACUGAGGUAGAACUUCCAGUUUUCAGAUUAAGAUGUUCUUUAACAGACACAGGAGACUACAUACAUAUUUCUAAGGCAGCUUGGAUGAAUCCAGGCAUCAUGUAUGUUUACAUUCCAGCCAUGUGAGGAAAGGUGAGGAGGGUCUUGGAAAAUAUGGGAUCUUAUUUUACAAUGCAUUCAUCAUUUUCAUUCCAACUCUUUUGGCUAGUGCUUUCACUGGGGAUUUACACAAGGCCAUUACAUAUGAACACUGGUUGAACACCCCCUUUGUUUCUUGCUUCCUUAUGUCCUGCAUCUUGGGGUUUGUGCUGAUGUAUUCAAUAGUGCUGUGUAGCCACUACAACUCAGCACUCACCACCACAGUGGUGGGAGCAAUUAAGAAUGUUGCUGUGGCCUACAUCGGCAUGUUUUUAGGUGGAGAUUACCUCUUUUCAUGGACAAACUUCCUGGGCUUGAAUAUAUGUAUAUCAGGGGGACUUGUGUAUUCCUACCUGACGUUCCACAGCAGCAGCAAACCAUCCCAAUGCAAUGGAAGCAGAAUCCAGAAAAAACUGGAUCAGCUGAAGAUUCCCAUUAUGGAAGAUUCCACAGACAGACUCCUUGUAAAAUAACUAUCUUUAUUUAACCUUUUAUUUUAUCAGGGUCCCAUUGAGACCAAGGCCUCUUUCAAGGGAGCUCUGCGUGAACACAAUUUGUAAGUGAAUACACCUGCGAUACAACUGGUCAUGAUGCCAUAGUUUAUUUUCUGUACUGUAAGCACAACCCUUUGUAACUGCUCCAUAUUGUAGCAGACGUUCUUACAUUUGAUGUUUUAAUGUAACUUUAUGAAAAAUUAUGAUCAUACUUUUGACAAUGUUUAUUAUUUGUGUUGCAAGUUGAAACCUGUCAUUUUUAUUGUGUUGUCAAGACAAGUGGUGUUAUACUAUACAUACUAGUACAUGUGUAAAUAGCAAUGGCCACUAGUGGUUACUAAGCAACCCGUGAAACCAAUGUGUGUACUGAGAGACAUACUGUAGUGUAUUGAGCUGUAUGUUCAAGGACAACUGAACUGCAGUGUAGUGAUGAUGAAGCUCUUACCAACCAUUAGCAUAGCAAUAAACUAGAAGGAAUGAACCCAUCUCCUGGAUCAUGA
Molecule: RNA transcript, 1764 nt
Organism: Oncorhynchus kisutch (coho salmon)
Lineage: Eukaryota; Metazoa; Chordata; Actinopteri; Salmoniformes; Salmonidae
Gene name: UDP-N-acetylglucosamine/UDP-glucose/GDP-mannose transporter
Exons: 13
Source: RefSeq, a predicted model, not a curated record